RNAcentral lists this ribosomal RNA (253 nucleotides) under uncultured bacterium. RNAcentral's name for it is "partial 16S ribosomal RNA". It matches the Rfam family "Bacterial small subunit ribosomal RNA", at positions 524 to 776 of the family's 1533-position model. The record is from RNAcentral.
UACAGAGGGUGCGAGCGUUAAUCGGAAUUACUGGGCGUAAAGCGUGCGCAGGCGGUUGUGCAAGACAGGUGUGAAAUCCCCGGGCUUAACCUGGGAACUGCACUUGUGACUGCACGGCUGGAGUACGGCAGAGGGGGAUGGAAUUCCGCGUGUAGCAGUGAAAUGCGUAGAUAUGCGGAGGAACACCGAUGGCGAAGGCAGUCCCCUGGGCCUGUACUGACGCUCAUGCACGAAAGCGUGGGGAGCAAACAGG